Molecule: ribosomal RNA, 467 nt
Filed under: uncultured bacterium
Lineage: Bacteria
Description: partial 16S ribosomal RNA
Rfam family: Bacterial small subunit ribosomal RNA
Source: RNAcentral
GACGAACGCUGGCGGCGUGCUUAACACAUGCAAGUCGAACGGUGAAGCUCCAGCUUGCUGGAGUGGAUCAGUGGCGAACGGGUGAGUAACACGUGAGCAACCUGCCCCUGACUCUGGAAUAAGCGCUGGAAACGGCGUCUAAUACUGGAUACGAGAAGGGUCCGCAUGGGCACUUUCUGGAAAGUUUUUCGGUUGGGGAUGGGCUCGCGGCCUAUCAGCUUGUUGGUGAGGUAAUGGCUCACCAAGGUGACGACGGGUAGCCGGCCUGAGAGGGCGACCGGCCACACUGGGACUGAGACACGGCCCAGACUCCUACGGGAGGCAGCAGUGGGGAAUAUUGCACAAUGGGCGAAAGCCUGAUGCAGCGACGCCGCGUGAGGGAUGACGGCCUUCGGGUUGUAAACCUCUUUCAGCAGGGAAGAAGCGAAAGUGACGGUACCUGCAGAAGAAGCACCGGCUAACUACGG